RNAcentral lists this unclassified non-coding RNA (1068 nucleotides) under Hevea brasiliensis (rubber tree). Lineage: Eukaryota; Viridiplantae; Streptophyta; Magnoliopsida; Malpighiales; Euphorbiaceae. The record is from RNAcentral.
GUACAAGAUACAUACUAAAUGAUAAGUUCUAGGGCAUACUACUAACAGAAUAAGAAGCACAAUACCCCUUCUGAUAGGUCUAAAAAGGGAGCUCAAGAUGAUAUGGAAAUAGGCAAAAUUGUUGCAGGUCGUUCAUCACCAUAUUAUCAUCUAUUGAUGAGUAAUUAAUGUAAGCUUUCAAUAGAAAAGGCGGAAUUAUCCAAGUAUAGAAGAAAUAACUGAAAAAAGAUUCAUAGUCCUACUCUAAAAUAUGAGCUGACGAAAACAUAAGUUAGUUUGUAAAGCUUGAAAAGGACUGAAACAAGAAUGAGGAAGUUUGUUUAGCUGUGCACGCAAAUAGCUUCCUUAAUGAACAAAAAAUUUAUUCUGGUCCAACACACGUUGAGCCCAUUGUUUUGCAAGGAGUCACUGCUCUUCUGUAAACAUGCUGUAAAGUUGAAGGGAUAUGGUAUCAUAAGCACAGCAGGUGGGACAGGAAGGGGUGAAGGUGGUGUUGGUGGAAGAAUUUCUCUUGAUUGUAACAGUAUACAUGAAGAUGUGACAGUCACUCUUCAUGGUGGCUGGAGUAUUGGUUGUCCUACAAAUGUUGGUGUAGCUGGUACAUUUUUUAGUGUAGAUUUACUGAGUUUAAGAGUUUGGCAAUGACAAUGUGAUGACAAAAGUGAAAAGCCCUUGAUUUUCCUACUACACUUCUGUGGUCAAAUGUUUUUGUGGAGAACAAUGCAAAGUUUAUGGUUUCUUUUAGUAAUAUUUAGCAUAUCUAAAAGUAUGAUCACUUUUUCAUUCUCUGUAUCAUCUUAAAAAUUGUAUAUUUGAGGAGUGGAAACCUAGUGAGAGACGAAGCUUUGUGAGGAAAAAGGCCCCAUAGGAGCAAAAGCCACGUUGCGCGUCUCCUUCUAUACCAACUAUGCGAAGACAUUUAAGAAGCUCCAUCAUCUCUUUGAGAAGGAGCAUUUGAUGUAGAGCUGAAGUUGGCGGGGGAGUAUGGAUUGUGGUGGUGCAUGAGAGAGCUGUAGAGGGUUCAAUAUCCAUUGAUCCUCAUUUGUAAUGCUGCUAGAAUGCUUUUGA